GUGUGAAAUCAGAGGGUCUAGUCACAGCAGUGCUUCAUCCUCUCAUGCUCCUUCCUGCCACAGGGCCUUUGCAGAGGCUGCCGUGCCUGUUGAAACCUCUUCCCACCAGGCAGCGCCAGCGACUCCUCCUCACUCUCAGCUCAAGUGCUGCCUUCCAUGACCUCUCUAAAUGGCCCACAGUCAUCGGAGGAUCCAGGGAGGAUGAAGUGUUUCCUGAAGGCUGCGAGCCCAACUGCUCCUUUGCCCUUUGCCAUGGCAGCUGGCUGACAGAAUCACCCCACCCCUGCCCCCCAGGCAGUGAGUCCUCAAAGGCCCAGACUCCUCCUCCAUCUCUCUGCUGCUUUAGGACCAGCGCUGCGCCCAGCCCAUGUUAAAACACGUAGAGCGAUUCUAGCCUCAUUCUGUUCACAUGAGGAAAAUCCCUUAGAAUGUGCACCUACCGCACCAGAACCUUCUGUCAACGGAAGGAGAUGACCGAUCUCUGCUCUCUGCUUGGAUUCUUCUGACCAAUUCUCAAGGGCCCAAAGUAUUUACCGAAUUUUUUUAAGUGUUUGUUUUUCUGAUUUUGACAACAAUACAUGCUUGUUGGAAAACUAUUUAAGUAAUGCAAGGAAGCAUUUAAAAUAGUGGUUCUCAACCGAGGGUGGUUUUCUUCCCAAGAGACCUGUGGUGACAACUGGAGACAUUUUUGGUUGCUGAGAGCGGGGGAUGGGGUGUGCCUGGUAUCUAGUGGGCAGAGGCGGGAUGCAGCUGAAUACCCGACAGCGCCCAGAACAAUCCCCACAACAGAAAACCGUCUCACCCCAAACGCCAGUAGGGCCAGGGAUGAGAAACCUGGAUGAGUAGAGAUGUCAGCGACCCAAGCUCCUCCCACCGAGAAAUAAACCCUUGGUGCUUCCGGUAAGAAAGCUCUCUGGGUGCGCAUGCGCACACCACUGCGCAAGCUCACUUGCUUCCUGUGGUAGAUCACGGUCGUCUCUCUAUCUUGCUGUUUUUAAUGCAGUUUAAUACAGUGUUUUGUAUUUAAUUAGUGCAUUUUUACUCUAGGUUUCAUUAUAUGGGUUUACUUCACAAAUCCUCUGUAGUCUGGAACUUGGGAUAUUUCCCCCAACAGUGGAUUCCCACGCGCACAGAGACUCUCUCGCCUAUGAGAUGUUGGCAUGAGUGCCCCAAAGUUACAUUUCCAGCUUGCUUUAAAACUCCGGGCUGUUGAACAUAACGGUGUCCUCUGCCAGGCCACCCUGAGGGCUGAAGGCGGCCUCCAGCUGGGACCCAGCAGAGGUCACCUCUCUCUGCAUCUGCUGCCCCACCCCCCAGGGCCAAGCUGAUAGGUGGGAAAUGACGUCACCGCAGCUGUCAUCUGCAUUUCCUUCUUGACUGGCAGAGUGGACCUUGUCACAUAGGUUGCUGACCUUCUCUGUGAAUGGAUGGUUUUACCUUUUCCUAUUGUUUUGUGAGAACUCUUUGUAUAUAAAGGCUAUCAACUCUAAGAGGACUAGAAGUUUCUCUUCCUCUCUCCUUUCCUCUCUUGCUUUCUCCCUCCCUCCUUUCCUUCCUUCCUUCCUCUUGUGCUUUCGAAGGAUGUGCCUGAUAUUCCGACGAGCAGUUCAUGAAUUACAUCAGGAAGCAGCUUUUGAAACAAACGCAUUAACAACCACCCUGAGUUUCCGCCUCCUGAUACAGCUGAGCCCCAGCCCUUUGCUCAGCUCAAGCUGUUAACCCUCGGC
Molecule: long non-coding RNA, 1727 nt
Organism: Chinchilla lanigera (long-tailed chinchilla)
Lineage: Eukaryota; Metazoa; Chordata; Mammalia; Rodentia; Chinchillidae
Source: Ensembl